This 24-nucleotide non-coding RNA is filed under the name Cricetulus griseus (Chinese hamster). Lineage: Eukaryota; Metazoa; Chordata; Mammalia; Rodentia; Cricetidae. The record is from RNAcentral.
GAUGAAACCACAGAAAUGACAGAU